This 2874-nucleotide ribosomal RNA is filed under the name Selaginella bryopteris. Its description in RNAcentral is "bacterial LSU rRNA". It matches the Rfam family "Bacterial large subunit ribosomal RNA". Lineage: Eukaryota; Viridiplantae; Streptophyta; Lycopodiopsida; Selaginellales; Selaginellaceae. The record is from RNAcentral.
AGGGCGCAUGGUGGAUGCCUUGGCAUGCUGAGCCGAUGAAGGACGUGUAAGGCUGCGUUAAGCCUCGGGGAGUUGUCAAUAAAGCGUUGAUCCGAGGAUGUCCGAAUGGGGAAACCCAGGCGAUGAAUGCCGCCUAUCCGCUUCUGAAUUCAUAGGAAGCGAGAAGCCCACGCAGGGAAGUGAAACAUCUCAGUACCUGCAGGAAGAGAAAACAAAAGUGAUUCCGUGAGUAGUGGCGAGCGAAAGCGGAUGGGGCUAAACCGUAUGUGUGUGAUACCCGGCAGGGGUUGCAGGCUUGGGGUUGUGGGACGUGUCUGAUGGGUCUGCCGGCUUGUCGACGUGUACGUGUAGUGGUAGUCGAAGUCGUGGUGAGUGCGACGGCGUAGAGGGUGUGACCCCCGUAGACGAAACUGUUGUGCGGCGUGAUGCUGUUCCCGAGUAGCACCGGGCCCGUGAAAUCCGGUGUGAAUCUGCCAGGACCACCUGGUAAGCCUGAAUACUACCUGUUGACCGAUAGCGGAUCAGUACCGUGAGGGAAUGGUGAAAAGUACCCCGGGAGGGGAGUGAAAUAGUACCUGAAACCGUGCGCUUACAAUCCGUCGGAGCCUUUAGGGGUGACGGCGUGCCUUUUGAAGAAUGAGCCUGCGAGUUAGUGGUCGGUGGCGAGGUUAACCCGUGUGGGGAAGCCGUAGCGAAAGCGAGUCUGAAUAGGGCGACUUGAGUUCGACGGAUCAGACCCGAAACCGGGUGAUCUAGCCAUGGGCAGGUUGAAGGUGCGGUAACACGCACUGGAGGCUCGAACCCAUGUCUGUUGAAAAAGCCUGGGAUGACUUGUGGGUAGGGGUGAAAGGCCAAUCAAACUCCGUGAUAGCUGGUUCUCCCCGAAAUGCAUUUAGGUGCAGCGUCGCAUGUUUCACCUCGGAGGUAGAGCUACUGGAUGGCCGAUGGGCCCCACAAGGUUACUGACGUCAGCCAAACUCCGAAUGCCGAGGUGUGAGAGUGCGGCAGUGAGACUGCGGGGGAUAAGCUUCGUAGUCGAGAGGGAAACAGCCCAGACCACCGGUUAAGGCCCCUAAGCGUGUGCUAAGUGGGAAAGGAUGUGGAGUUGCUGAGACAACCAGGAGGUUGGCUUAGAAGCAGCCAUCCUUUAAAGAAAGCGUAAUAGCUCACUGGUCAAGCGAGCCCGCGCCGAAAAUGUAACGGGGCUAAAGUCUGGUACCGAAGCUUCGGGUUCCCGCAAGGGAGCGGUAGCGGAGCAUUCUCAGGCAGAUACGAGGCGUACCGAAAGGAGCGCAACAGGGCCUGAGAAGAGCUUAUGCAGGCAUGAGUAGCGAUAAACCGGGUGAGAAACCCGGUCGCCGUAAGCCCAAGGUUUCCUGGGGAAGGAUAAUCCUCCCAUGGGUUAGUCGAUUCCUAAGCCGAGGCCGAGAGGCGUAGGUGAUGGAAAGCAGGUUAAUAUUCCUGCACCACCAAGGAUGGCGUUGAAGCAAGCGGGGACGGAGAAGGGUAGCCCAGCACGGCGCAUGGUCGUCCGUGUUCAAGCCCGUAGGCUGAGCUGUUAGGACCCGAUAGGGACAAACGACGGUUCGCUAGGCCGAGAGGUGAUGAGGUCCGGCCCUAGGCCGAGAAACUGAGUGAUCCCAAGCUUCCAAGAAAAGCCGCGUGCAGAGCCUCUUUGGUGAUCGUACUGCAAACCGACUCAGGUGGGCGGGAAGAAUAUUCCAAGGCGCGUGAGAGAACCCCGGUUAAGGAACUCGGCAAAUUGACACCGUAACUUCGGAAGAAGGUGUACCCCUAGUAGGUGAAGUUGUACAAACGGAGCCCAAUGGGGUCGCAGAGAAUCGGUGGCUGCGACUGUUUAAUAAAAACACAGCACUCUGCAAAGACGAAAGUCGACGUAUAGGGUGUGACGCCUGCCCGGUGCUGGAAGAUUAAAUGAUGGGGUGCAAGCUCUUGAUUGAAGUCCCAGUAAACGGCGGCCGUAACUAUAACGGUCCUAAGGUAGCGAAAUUCCUUGUCGGGUAAGUUCCGACCUGCACGAAUGGAGUAACGACUUCCCCGCUGUCUCAACCAUGAACUCGGCGAAAUUGCAUUACGAGUAAAGAUGCUCGUUACGCGCAGAAGGACGGAAAGACCCCGAGACCUUUACUAUAGUUUGGUAUUGGUGUUCGGUGUGGCUUGUGUAGGAUAGGUGGGAGACUGUGAAGCCGGCACGCCAGUGCUGGUGGAGUCAUCGUUGAAAUACCACUCUGGUCACUCUGGACAUCUAACUUCGGCCCGUGAUCCGGGUCAGGGACAGUGCCUGAUGGGUAGUUUAACUGGGGCGGUUGCCUCCCAAAAUGUAACGGAGGCGCCCAAAGGUCCCCUCAGCCUGGUUGGCAAUCAGGUGUCGAGUGCAAGUGCACAAGGGGGCUUGACUGUGAGAGAGACAUCUCGAGCAGGGACGAAAGUCGGGACUAGUGAUCCGGCGGCUCGUUGUGGAACGGCCGUCGCUCAACGGAUAAAAGGUACCUCGGGGAUAACAGGCUGAUCUUGCCCAAGAGUCCAUAUCGACGGCAUGGUUUGGCACCUCGAUGUCGGCUCGUCGCAUCCUGGGGCUGGAGUAGGUCCCAAGGGUUGGGCUGUUCGCCCAUUAAAGCGGUACGCGAGCUGGGUUCAGAACGUCGUGAGACAGUUCGGUCCCUAUCCGCUGCGCGCGUUGGAAAUUUGAGAAGGUCUGUCCUUAGUACGAGAGGACCGGGACGGACGAACCUCUGGUAUGUCAGUUGUACCGCCAGGUGCAUGGCUGAUUAGCUACGUUCGGGAUGGAUAACCGCUGAAAGCAUCUAAGCGGGAAGCCCACCUUAAGAUUAGAUUUCCCUAAAGAGCCGUUGU